Molecule: long non-coding RNA, 623 nt
Organism: Nyctereutes procyonoides (raccoon dog)
Lineage: Eukaryota; Metazoa; Chordata; Mammalia; Carnivora; Canidae
Exons: 2
Source: RefSeq, a predicted model, not a curated record
CGGGAGUGGCGCGCAGGCGCGGGGAGCCUGUCUCGGCGGCUCUCGCCGCUCGCGUCAGGGCCGACACCUGCCGCUGUCGGGCUCGGAUUCCAGCCGGGUCGGGACGUUGCCCCGCGAUGCCGGGUGUCUGCCUGUGGUCCCCCGCGGGGUCGUGUCCGCAGCCCCCCGCGUCGUGACUCCGUGGGCCUGCCCGCCGACCCCCCGGAGCCCCCGAGGCCGGAGCGGCACCUGCGCGCGGUCUGGGCCACGACCGCCAGGUCCCCGCGGCUUCCCGGCGCGCGGGGCCUGCUAGGGGCCCGGUGCCCCGGGUCGCCGCGGCGGACGGGGCUCGUGAUGUGCGUGCGCCUGUCCGAGUCCCGGCCCAAAGCUGGUCACGUGCGCGCAGAAUGAGGGACGUGCUGUGAUGGGCCACGACCAUCCUCUGCGGUGACCCCCGCCCUUGAACUUAAGGCGCCCCUGUUCCGAAGCUGACAGCGAUGCGCCACCGAGUGUUCCCAAGCAUCCCGUUAGGAAGUGUCCGAUGCAGAAAAGUCGAGCACCACCAUCCUCCACGACUCCAGGAUUCUUUGCACCACGGUGACCCUGUUCCGGAACUUCAUAAAAGUGGAAUCAUACAGCUUGAA